RNAcentral lists this ribosomal RNA (428 nucleotides) under Lysinibacillus fusiformis. Its description in RNAcentral is "bacterial SSU rRNA". It matches the Rfam family "Bacterial small subunit ribosomal RNA", at positions 217 to 637 of the family's 1533-position model. Lineage: Bacteria; Bacillati; Bacillota; Bacilli; Caryophanales; Bacillaceae. The record is from RNAcentral.
GCUAUAGGAUGGGCCCGCGGCGCAUUAGCUAGUUGGUGAGGUAACGGCUCACCAAGGCGACGAUGCGUAGCCGACCUGAGAGGGUGAUCGGCCACACUGGGACUGAGACACGGCCCAGACUCCUACGGGAGGCAGCAGUAGGGAAUCUUCCACAAUGGGCGAAAGCCUGAUGGAGCAACGCCGCGUGAGUGAAGAAGGUUUUCGGAUCGUAAAACUCUGUUGUAAGGGAAGAACAAGUACAGUAGUAACUGGCUGUACCUUGACGGUACCUUAUUAGAAAGCCACGGCUAACUACGUGCCAGCAGCCGCGGUAAUACGUAGGUGGCAAGCGUUGUCCGGAAUUAUUGGGCGUAAAGCGCGCGCAGGCGGUCCUUUAAGUCUGAUGUGAAAGCCCACGGCUCAACCGUGGAGGGUCAUUGGAAACUGGG